Molecule: RNA transcript, 3385 nt
Organism: Cervus elaphus (red deer)
Lineage: Eukaryota; Metazoa; Chordata; Mammalia; Artiodactyla; Cervidae
Gene name: ubiquitin carboxyl-terminal hydrolase 1-like
Exons: 1
Source: RefSeq, a predicted model, not a curated record
AUAAGGAACAAAACAGGAAAACGCGCCAAGUUCCCGUCGGUGGUGGAGUGAGGAAGACCCUAGCGGUUCGGGCGCCCGGCUAGCGGAGCCGCUUCUGGCGCUCCUUGCCGUCCCGGGGCGGGGGCGGGCGCGGGAGGGCGCCGCUCCGGGGAUGUAGUUGGUGCCCGCCCCAGGCAGGACCGAGCUGCAGCCCGGGUUCCCGCUCUUAAGAGCGAAUGGUCACUUCCCCGCGGGGAGGGCGAUAGGGUCAGCUUUUCCGUGGGUCGGGGGCCCCCGCGGGCCCGGGGCAGGGGCUCACCUGUCGCACCCGCACUGAGCGGGGUUGGACUCGCCGGCGUCACCGCCGCGGACCUCGCUCUGGGCCAUGACCAGAUAUGAUUGGUGAUUACAAGAUCCCUGCAUAAGUUAAUUCCUGUCAACUGCUUGGGAUUUGAGGAGAAAAUGCCUGGUGUCAUACCUAGUGAAAGUAAUGGGCUUUCAAGAGGUAGUCCAUCCAAAAAAAACAGACUUUCCUUGAAGUUUUUUCAGAAAAAGGAAACCAAGAGAGCCUUGGAUUUCACAGAUUCUCAAGAAAAUGAAGAAAAGACUUCUGAAUAUAAAGGGUCUGAAAUUGAUCAAGUUGUUCCUGCGGCACAGUCCUCGCCUAUAAACUGUGAGAAGAGAGAAAAUUUGCUACCAUUUGUGGGACUGAAUAAUCUUGGCAAUACUUGUUAUCUUAAUAGUAUACUUCAGGUUUUAUAGUUUUGUCCUGGUUUUAAAUUUGGAGUGAAGCACUUAUUUAAUAUCAUUUCAAGGAAGAAAGAAGCCCUAAAAGAUGAAGCCAAUCAAAAAGAUAAGGGAACUCAACCCUAUGUAUGAAGGAUAUCUACAGCAUGAUGCACAGGAAGUAUUACAGUGUAUUUUGGGAAACAUUCAAGAAACAUGCCAACUCCUAAAAAAAGAAGAAGUAAAAAAUGUGGAAGACUCAUCUACUAAGGUAGAAGAAUAUCAGAAAGAGGAAAUGAGUGAUAAUAACAGCAUGGAGAUGGACAGUAUGAGGCAUUCUGAAGACUACAGAGAAAAACUCCCAAAAGGAAAUGGGAAAAGAAAAAGUGAUGCUGAAUUUGGUAACAUGAAAAAAAAAGUUAAAAUCUCUAAGGAACACCAGUCUUUGGAAGAAAACCAAAGACAAACCAGAUCAAAAAGAAAAGCUGCAGGUGAUACAUUAGAGAUUCCUCCUAAAAUAAUCCCAAGCACAUUUCUGAAAAUGAGAACGCAAGAUCCUCCCAAAGGAAAUCAAAAGUUAAAAUAAAUUGGUUAAAGUCUGCAGCUAAGCAACCCAGCAUUCUUUCCAAGUUCUGUAGUAUGGGUAAAAUAGCAACAAACCAAGGAUCCAAAGGACAGUGUAAAGAAAAUGAAUAUGAUCUUGAAGAGGACUUGAGGAAGUAUGAAAAUGAUAAUACAACUAAUGAUUGUGAACUUGAGUCUCCAGGGAAUAAUGAUAUGCCCAUUAAUGUUAAUGAAGUUAAGCCCAUAAACAAAGGUGCAGAGCAAAUUGGUUUUGAGCUAGUUGAAAAAUUAUUUCAAGGUCAGCUGGUAUUACGGACUCGUUGCUUAGAAUGUGAAAGUUUAACAGAAAGAAGAGAAGAUUUUCAAGACAUCAGUGUACCAGUGCAAGAAGAUGAGCUUUCCAAAGUAGAGGAGAGUUCUGAAAUUUCUCCAGAGCCCAAAACAGAAAUGAAGACCCUGAGAUGGGCAAUUUCACAAUUUGCUUCAGUGGAAAGGAUUGUAGGAGAAGAUAAAUAUUUCUGUGAAAACUGCCAUCAUUAUACUGAAGCAGAACGAAGUCUUUUGUUUGACAAAAUGCCUGAAGUUAUAACUAUUCAUUUGAAGUGCUUUGCUGCUAGUGGCUUGGAGUUUGACUGUUAUGGUGGUGGACUUUCCAAGAUCAACACUCCUUUACUGACACCUCUUAAAUUGUCACUAGAAGAAUGGAGCACAAAGCCAACCAACGACAGCUAUGGACUAUUUGCAGUUGUGAUGCAUAGUGGCAUUACAAUUAGUAGUGGGCACUAUACUGCUUCUGUUAAAGUCACUGACCUUAACAGUUUAGAACUAGAUAAGGAAAAUUUUGUGAUCGACCAAAUGUGUGAAAUAGGUAAGCCAGAACCAUUGAAUGAGGAGGAAGUAAGGGGUGUGGCUGAAAAUUAUGACAAUGAAGAAGUGUCUGUUAGAGUCAGUGGAAAUAACCAGCCAAGUAAAGUUUUGAACAAAAAAAAUGUAGAAGCUAUUGGACUUCUUGGAGGACAAAAGAGCAAGGCAGAUUACGAGUUAUACAACAAAGUGUCUAAUCCUGAUAAAGUUGCCAGUACAGCACUUCCUGAAAAUAGAAAUUCUGAGACUAACAAUACUAAUGGGACCCAUGAAUCUGAUAGUAACAAGGAAUCCAGUGACCAAACAGGCAUUAACAUUAGUGGUUUUGAGAACAAAAUUUCAUAUGUAGUGCAAAGCUUAAAGGAGUAUGAGGGGAAGUGGUUGCUUUUUGAUGAUUCUGAAGUGAAAGUUACUGAAGAGAAGGACUUUUUGAAUUCUCUUUCCCCUUCUACAUCUCCUACAUCUACUCCUUACUUGCUAUUUUAUAAGAAAUUAUAGAGUGAUUGUAUUUUCCUUGUGUAUAUAUUAAAGAGACAUGGAUAAACAAUGGUAAAUUGAUUACAUCAAAGUAGCUUAUCUUUUGAAGCUAUUGGAUAUUAUUGGUCUCUAGGUUUUUAUAUAAAUAGUGAAAUUUGAAUUAUUGAAAACCAUGUUAAUUUUUAGAAUUCAUUUUCCUUAGUAGAGACUAGUGAUAACAUUAGCUUCUGGGAACAAACUUGUAUAGGUUCUUAACUGAAUUAUUCAAAAUUGAAGCAUUUAAACACUUUUGAAUUUACAUCUAUCUUUUGUGUUUGCUUUUUAAAAUAAAGUGCUUGUAUUUGUAUCUCCAUAUUUUGGAGUAAUUAUAUACACAAUGUUUAUAGGUCUUGUGGUUUUUCAGCUAAGGAGCAGAAUCUCAUUUCAGUACAUAUAGUUUUGUAAAUCAUAAACCAAACCUUAGAUGGGCUAUAGUACAGGCACAAACCCUGGAAUAUGUAUGUAUUCACAACAGUGUACAUUUUGUGCCUUGAAUCACUUUGAAAAAUAUCCCAGAAAACCUAUAGAGUCAGUCCUCUUCUAUCUUCACCAGAAUUUUAUGUGUAUUUAUGAAAAUGAUUCUGUAUACUAGUAAAUCUUUGGGGGCAUGGGCUAAUUUGUAUCCCUUCAUAGUCAUACUCUGCACGAUCUGUAUAUAGUACAUCAAACUUAGAGGUGUGACCUUAAAUUUAACUUUUUUAAAAACCAGGAGGUCAAUAAAAUGUAAACUGCUUAA